Molecule: long non-coding RNA, 711 nt
Filed under: Marmota monax (woodchuck)
Lineage: Eukaryota; Metazoa; Chordata; Mammalia; Rodentia; Sciuridae
Source: RNAcentral
GUGUAAUUAUGUCAUAUAUAAUAUAUGAUCAUUUAUAUGUUAUAUAUUAUAAAUAUAUUUGUUUUAUGGUUAUAUAAUACAAAUAAACACUCUUGGGGAAAAAUGUGAAAUUAGAAGAAUGUACUUUUGUUGAACUUAGGAAGGCUGAUAUUGAAUGAUUGCAAUAAAUCUUGAAAAAAUGAACUCUGUAGGUAGGAAAUCAGUGAGAGGGAGGAAGAGAAAGAAAGGGGACAUACUAGGAAUUGAAAUGAAGAAUAUUAUGUUAAGUGCCUCUAGGAACCCCACUAUCACAUAUAACUAGAAUGCACCAAUUAAUAAAAACAAAAAGAAAUUAAAAUGACAUUUUAAAAGUUUGCUCAGUUGGCCACAGUUAGUACAGAAUAUCUUUUAAUGUUCAUAUGUUUUCAGAAUAUUCUCAGAAGUUUUCAGAAGGCAACCACCACUAAGCUGACAACAUUAAAAUUACUAGCACUUUCUUACAUUUACAAGAUUUGCCUAGAUAAAAUCAACUUGAAUUUUACAAAAGGUUUUGCAAGGGUAAGGUUCACACCUCCUUCUAUAUGACCUAUCAAACAAAACAACUCUUACAAUAUUGUGGAGUAAUCUUGAGAAACUUAGUACAACUUUCUACCUAAUUCAAACUAAUUAUUGCCAACAUCCCUAUUUUGAUCAUAUGUUCAUUCCAUAGUUUACACAGCAACAUAAAACAGC